Toxorhynchites rutilus septentrionalis is the source of this 1281-nucleotide long non-coding RNA. RefSeq lists it as uncharacterized. NCBI's taxonomy places the organism in Eukaryota, Metazoa, Arthropoda, Insecta, Diptera, Culicidae. The record is from RefSeq and is a predicted model, not a curated record. The transcript has 3 exons.
UAUCGACAUCUGGAUACGGCAUUAGUUUGUAUGAGGCAAACUAUUCUCUAUCAUAUUAGUCGGCCCGAAUCAGUUUAUAUUUGCUAAAAUUUGUAUGAAAUUUUUUUCUUGGCAUAAUUUUUUCUACUUAAAGUACGUUGUCAUGACCCUAAUUUGAAUUAUUUUCUAUAGACGUUCAGAUAUUCUCAAAAAAACUUGUCAUUAUAAUAUAAAAUUAUCUCAAAACAUAUUUUUUAUGACGUUUUUUCACCACUUGCAGGCAAUGGUGAUUUUCACUUACAUAGAGUACUAAUUUGAUUAAGGAAAAAUCAUGUUCAUUCAUAAUUUUCAUUUUAAAAGUGUAUUGAUUCCUUCUGCAAAUCCAUACUGUCAUGCCUAUUACCCAAUAUCGUCAACGCGGAUAGUUCGUUAGUCGAAAAUACUGAAUAAUUAAACAAACCAAAUGGCAUCACUGGUGGUUCUUUUUUCCACUCCGCUAAACUGUCAUCUCAAACAAAAACAAAUGGAUCAUACAACUGCUAUGAAUACAUUCGACUCGUUUGCUUCCAUCAAUCGGUAAGUGAGAAAGAUGAUUUCUCCCAUCAGUGCGGAUUUCCACUUCUAUCACAGCAGCCAACAACAUCCGUUUUCCUGCAGCAGUAACCUUCAACCCCUGUUGGCAAUGCCGGGGGACAGCAUCAACAGCAGCAGCAGCAGAAUUUGACCAUGGUAUGGUAUUGCGAAGAACUUUCCCCAUUAGAGGUUCCGUGCUUCGCGCACAUUCAAAAUCCUCUUCAGACACGAAAACUCAACGACAAGGAGGUAUUUAUCAACUUGCUCAGCUGAAUUACCACCCGGAGGAACCCGAAUGCACUGAUUCCGUUGUAUAGUAGAAUGAAAAUAUGCGAGGUAAGCGAACGUAAUCGCAUGAUAUUUUAAUAGUUCGCAUUUUUAUCCGGAACAUACAACUGCUAUGAAUACAUCCGACUCAAUCAAUCGGCGAGUGAGAAAGAUGAUUUCCCUCAUCACCACAUUGCUUAUUUCCACUUCUGUCACGCCAGCCAACAGCAUCAGCUUUCCCGCAGCAGUAUCCUUUAAGUCCAGGGUGCUAUUCCGGGGAACAGCAUCAUCAGUAACAGCAGCAGGACCUGGCCAUCGAUAGUAUUUCGAGCAAUUUUCCCCAUCGGAGAUCCCGUGCUUCACGCACAUUGAAGAAACCUCCUCAGCCACAUAUGUGUGUCAAGGAGAAAAAGGAGCUGGAUUCGAAUCGUCAAUCCAGACAACCCGAAUGCACCGAUUGCA